This 402-nucleotide ribosomal RNA is filed under the name bacterium. RNAcentral's name for it is "partial 16S ribosomal RNA". It matches the Rfam family "Bacterial small subunit ribosomal RNA", at positions 355 to 776 of the family's 1533-position model. The record is from RNAcentral.
UGGGGAAAUUUGCACAAUGGGGGAAACCCUGAUGCAGCGACGCCGCGUGAUUUAGAAGGCCUUCGGGUUGUAAAAAUCUUUUCUAUGGGAAGAAAAUGACAGUACCAUGGGAAUAAGGACCGGCUAAUUACGUGCCAGCAGCCGCGGUAAUACGUAAGGUCCGAGCGUUGUCCGGAAUCAUUGGGCGUAAAGGGUACGUAGGCGGGUAAGCAAGUUAGAAGUGAAAUCCUAUAGCUCAACUAUAGUAAGCUUUUAAAACUGCUCAUCUUGAGGUAUGGAAGGGAAAGUGGAAUUCCUAGUGUAGCGGUGAAAUGCGCAGAUAUUAGGAGGAAUACCGGUGGCGAAGGCGACUUUCUGGCCAUAACCUGACGCUGAGGUACGAAAGCGUGGGUAGCAAACAGG